AUUGAACGCUGGCGGCAUGCCUAACACAUGCAAGUCGAACGGCAGCACGACCUAGCUUGCUAGGUUGGUGGCGAGUGGCGCACGGGUGAGUAACGCGUAGGAAUAUACCUUAAAGUGGGGGACAACCUGGGGAAACUCAGGCUAAUACCGCAUGAGCUCUAAGGAGGAAAGCUGGGGACCUUUCGGGGCCUGGCGCUUUAAGAAUAGCUUACGUCCGAUUAGUUAGUUGGUGGGGUAAAGGCUUACCAAGACGAUGAUCGGUAGCUGGUCUGAGAGGAUGAUCAGCCACACUGGGACUGAGACACGGCCCAGACUCCUACGGGAGGCAGCAGUGGGGAAUAUUGGACAAUGGGGGAAACCCUGAUCCAGCGAUGCCGCGUGUGUGAAGAAGGCCUGCGGGUUGUAAAGCACUUUCGGUGGGGAGGAGGACUUAUAGGUUAGGAGCUAAUGAGUUGGACGUUACCCACAUAAGAAGCACCGGCUAACUCCGUGCCAGCAGCCGCCGUAA
Molecule: ribosomal RNA, 508 nt
Filed under: uncultured bacterium
Lineage: Bacteria
Description: partial 16S ribosomal RNA
Rfam family: Bacterial small subunit ribosomal RNA
Source: RNAcentral